UACGUAGGGUGCAAGCGUUGUCCGGAAUUAUUGGGCGUAAAGAGCUCGUAGGCGGUCUGUCGCGUCGGCUGUGAAAUCCCGGAGCUCAACUCCGGGUCUGCAGUCGAUACGGGCAAACUGGAGUACUGCAGGGAGACUGGAAUUCCUGGUGUAGCGGUGAAUGCGCAGAUAUCAGGAGGAACACCGGUGGCGAAGGCGGUCUCUGGCAGUAACUGACGCUGAGGAGCGAAAGCGUGGGAGCGAACAGG
RNAcentral lists this ribosomal RNA (248 nucleotides) under uncultured bacterium. Its description in RNAcentral is "partial 16S ribosomal RNA". It matches the Rfam family "Bacterial small subunit ribosomal RNA", at positions 524 to 776 of the family's 1533-position model. The record is from RNAcentral.